AUUUCAAUUUCUAAAUAUGCAGCAGCACAAGAAGUGUAUCCAAACUCAACUAUUUAUUUCUGUGGUUGUUAAUUCAGGGAUGUUCUCAACCAGGAGGAAAUCUGGAAUCUGAUUUGUUUAGGUCACAGAAACCACCAUCAAUAAUCAGAGAACCGAGAGAUCUUCCCCAUGACAAUGAUUUCAUUGAAUGGGUUGAUUUGCCAUCUAUAACAGAACUUAUAGAAGGCUUUUAGUUUUCUCUCGCGAAUUUCUCAGAUACAGUUAUUGAUCGAGGUAUCAGUGAUCGAUUAUAAUGCACUAGCCAUUAUGCCUAUGGUGCAUAUGGUUGGAAUGCCAUCCGAAAAAUCUACCCUUUUCUGAAUGCAACGAGUCCAGGCAAAUAUAGAUGUCUUUUCUCAUAAGCAGUUCCUUAGAGGUGGAACUUUCUCUUUUAACAUUACUACCCAUAUCCGUUGCUGAAAUCGUCUUGUCAAUAUUAGUAGUUUAGAACCCAUAUUCCUUCCUCUGAUCAAACAUCGUGUCCACAGUAGUACUGGUAUUUGUUCCUCAUAUCCAUAGUUUUCGAAUGUCCUAAAACAAGGACUGAAGUAUCCAUAUCCAUUUUUUCAUCUCCGUUGGUGAAUCCUCAAAAUCACCAAUAGUUAUUCCUCAAGCAGAUAGUCUGCAAUUAGUAUGUCCCUUAGAUCAAAGGGCAUGCAAAACAUCAAUAUCGAUCAUCCAAUAUUGAUGAAAAUCAGAAUUUGAAAUGGAGGCGCUCCUAGCAGAAUCCGACUGCAGAUCAGCAUCACAAGCCAAGGUCGGUGAAGAUGCAGAGGCCUUAUAUUGCUGUUUAUCUUUCCAAAGAAACUGCGUGUCCUGAAAGCAGACAACAGUUCGGAGCUGGCAGCAAUUUAAAGGAUUCUUUCAUUUUCCAGGAAGCAUCUCCUUUCAAUCCGUAGAACAUGCGGACCAAAUUCACAGUUCUGGCCUACGAGGCCAAUCACAACUAUUGUAUAGCUGCUAAUCUAGCAGCAUUACAUAGAAGAAAGAAAGAAAGAAAAAAUGCAGCAACGGCUGCUGAAGUCUAGAAGACAUGAAUGAUAAUCAGUCAGCAG
This is an RNA transcript of Fragaria vesca subsp. vesca, 1094 nucleotides long. RefSeq lists it as uncharacterized. The transcript is spliced from 2 exons. The record is from RefSeq and is a predicted model, not a curated record. NCBI's taxonomy places the organism in Eukaryota, Viridiplantae, Streptophyta, Magnoliopsida, Rosales, Rosaceae.